This 253-nucleotide ribosomal RNA is filed under the name uncultured bacterium. Its description in RNAcentral is "partial 16S ribosomal RNA". It matches the Rfam family "Bacterial small subunit ribosomal RNA", at positions 524 to 776 of the family's 1533-position model. The record is from RNAcentral.
CACGUAGGGCGCAAGCGUUGUCCGGAAUUAUUGGGCGUAAAGAGCGUGUAGGCGGCCAUACAGGUCCGUUGUGAAAACUGGAGGCUUAACCUCCAGACGUCGAUGGAAACCGUAUGGCUAGAGUCCGGAAGAGGAGAGUGGAAUUCCUGGUGUAGCGGUGAAAUGCGCAGAUAUCAGGAAGAACACCCGUGGCGAAGGCGGCUCUCUGGGACGGUACUGACGCUGAGACGCGAAAGCGUGGGGAGCGAACAGG